Molecule: unclassified non-coding RNA, 702 nt
Filed under: Hevea brasiliensis (rubber tree)
Lineage: Eukaryota; Viridiplantae; Streptophyta; Magnoliopsida; Malpighiales; Euphorbiaceae
Source: RNAcentral
GGCUAAGUAUAAGCUUGUUCAUGUGGUUAGGACCCAUCGUGGAGCUGAUGAUAAGGCGUUUAGGUGUGUUUAUCAGGAGCAGGAUGAUGCUGGAAAAACUGGGGUUUCUUUGUCAAAAGAUCUAAUGGCAAUUGCAGGUGGAGCACUCAAGAUCAAUAUCACCACCUUGGGUCCUUUGGUUCUUCCAAUAAGUGAGCAACUUUUGUUCUUCGCAACUUUGGUAGCCAAGAAAAUGUUCAAUGCGAAAGUGAAGCCUUACAUCCCAGAUUUUAAGCUUGCAUUCGACCAUUUUUGCAUACAUGCUGGGGGAAGAGCUGUGAUCGAUGAGCUUGAGAAGAAUUUGCAACUUCUGCCCGUGCAUGUUGAAGCAUCGAGGAUGACUCUGCAUCGGUUUGGUAACACUUCAUCAAGCUCUAUUUGGUAUGAAUUGGCCUACACUGAAGCAAAGGGCAGGAUGCGAAAGGGAAACCGUGUGUGGCAGAUAGCUUUUGGAAGUGGUUUUAAGUGUAACAGUGCAGUGUGGGAGGCUCUGAGGAAUGUUAAGCCCUCUACUAGUAAUCCAUGGGAAGAUUGCAUUGACCGGUAUCCAGUGCAGUUAGUUCUGUAGUUCCUGAACAAUUUGAUUAGAGACUCGAUUUAGAGAAGGGUACUGUGAUAGAUUGACUGGAAACUACUCUGCUAUUUUGUUCUAGCCUGUGUUUA